GGCGGACGGGUGAGUAAUAUAUAGGUAAUGUGCCCUAGAGAAGAGGAUAACAGUUGGAAACGACUGCUAAUACUCUAUAUGCCUUUAAGACAAAAGUCUGCAAGGGAAAUAUUUAUAGCUCUAGGAUCGGCCUGUACGGUAUCAGCUAGUUGGUGAGGUAAUGGCUCACCAAGGCAAUGACGCCUAACUGGUUUGAGAGGAUGAUCAGUCACACUGGAACUGAGACACGGUCCAGACUCCUACGGGAGGCAGCAGUGGGGAAUAUUGCACAAUGGGGGAAACCCUGAUGCAGCAACGCCGCGUGGAGGAUGACACAUUUCGGUGCGUAAACUCCUUUUAUAUAGGAAGAUAAUGACGGUACUAUAUGAAUAAGCGCCGGCUAACUCCGUGCCAGCAGCCGCGGUAAUACGGAGGGCGCAAGCGUUACUCGGAAUCACUGGGCGUAAAGAGCGUGUAGGCGGGUUAAUAAGUUUGAAGUGAAAUCCUAUGGCUCAACCAUAGAACUGCUUUGAAAACUGUUAACCUAGAAUAUGGGAGAGGUAGAUGGAAUUUCUGGUGUAGGGGUAAAAUCCGUAGAGAUCAGAAGGAAUACCGAUUGCGAAGGCGAUCUACUGGAACAUUAUUGACGCUGAGACGCGAAAGCGUGGGGAGCAAACAGGAUUAGAUACCCUGGUAGUCCACGCCCUAAACGAUGUUCACUAGUUGUUGUGAGGCUAGACCUUGCAGUAAUGCAGUAAACACAUUAAGU
This 748-nucleotide ribosomal RNA is filed under the name uncultured Arcobacter sp. RNAcentral describes it as "bacterial SSU rRNA". It matches the Rfam family "Bacterial small subunit ribosomal RNA", at positions 97 to 865 of the family's 1533-position model. Lineage: Bacteria; Pseudomonadati; Campylobacterota; Epsilonproteobacteria; Campylobacterales; Arcobacteraceae. The record is from RNAcentral.